CACACACAAGCCUGCAUUGAAAAUGGCCUAUAUAAUGACCAUAAUAGCCAGGCAUGUGAGAGGACCAGCAUCAGGUGAACUCAGAAAUAGUGUUUUGUAUAUCUGGCUACAUCGUGGUGUCAGGCGCAGUGAGCCAAUCAAGAUACAGGAAACCUAUCAACGAUACUACAUCAUGCUGACCUUUGACACCGCCCACAAAAUGGCAAUAUGGCCACACCCUUAAGUGGAACUUAAUAACCGCGCCCUAUUUAAGGAGGCAGAGGGAGAGCAGAGAGAGCGCUUCCCCGGAUGAGACUGCAGUGUGUGUGUGUUUGUCUCUGUCUCCUGUUUGAAAUUGUCUACUGAAAAGUGUGGCAAUAAAGCCUGAA
Molecule: long non-coding RNA, 368 nt
Organism: Neoarius graeffei (lesser salmon catfish)
Lineage: Eukaryota; Metazoa; Chordata; Actinopteri; Siluriformes; Ariidae
Exons: 3
Source: RefSeq, a predicted model, not a curated record